RNAcentral lists this ribosomal RNA (253 nucleotides) under uncultured bacterium. Its description in RNAcentral is "partial 16S ribosomal RNA". It matches the Rfam family "Bacterial small subunit ribosomal RNA", at positions 524 to 776 of the family's 1533-position model. The record is from RNAcentral.
UACGUAGGGGGCUAGCGUUGUCCGGAAUCAUUGGGCGUAAAGCGCGCGUAGGCGGCCCGGUAAGUCCGCUCUGAAAGUCCAGGGCUCAACCCUGGAAAGCGGGUGGAUACUGCCGGGCUAGAAUCCGGAAGAGGCGAGUGGAAUUCCUGGUGUAGCGGUGGAAUGCGCAGAUAUCAGGAAGAACACCAAUGGCGAAAGCAGCUCUCUGGGACGGUACUGACGCUGAGACACGAAAGCGUGGGGAGCGAACAGG